AGCUCCAAUAGCGUAUAUUAAAGUUGUUGCAGUUAAAAAGCUCGUAGUUGGAUUUCUGGUGGGAGCACGGGUCGGCCCUCACGGGUUGUACUGUUGUUGCGUCCUGCCGUUUCGGAGGGAAUGGCCUCGCUAUUAAGUUAGCGUGGUCGGGAACUCUGUCGUUUACUGUGAAAAAAUUAGAGUGUUCAAAGCAGGCCUUCGCUGUGAAUACAUUAGCAUGGAAUAAUAAGAUAGGACUGUAGUGCUAUUUUGUUGGUUUGCGUACUAUGGUAAUGAUUAAUAGGGAUAGUUGGGGGUAUUCAUAUUCAAUUGUCAGAGGUGAAAUUCUUGGAUUUAUGGAAGAUGAACUACUGCGAAAGCAUUUACCAAGGAUGUUUUCA
RNAcentral lists this ribosomal RNA (380 nucleotides) under uncultured eukaryote. Its description in RNAcentral is "SSU rRNA". It matches the Rfam family "Eukaryotic small subunit ribosomal RNA", at positions 587 to 972 of the family's 1831-position model. The record is from RNAcentral.